GCCCUCGGUGGCUCAGCUGGAUAGAGCGUCUGCCAUGUAAGCAGGAGAUCACGGGUUCGAGCCCCGGUCGGGGCA
RNAcentral lists this transfer RNA (75 nucleotides) under Schistocerca americana (American grasshopper). RNAcentral describes it as "tRNA-Thr". It matches the Rfam family "tRNA". Rfam says of the family: Transfer RNA (tRNA) molecules are approximately 80 nucleotides in length. Their secondary structure includes four short double-helical elements and three loops (D, anti-codon, and T loops). RNAcentral also lists the same sequence under 1 other name. Lineage: Eukaryota; Metazoa; Arthropoda; Insecta; Orthoptera; Acrididae. The record is from RNAcentral.